GNUUUCNNAGCGCACAGGUNACCNCGGCGAAUUCUCUACGCUUAUAGCGUGACCUCACCCCCAAACUUUCAUUAGUGAUAUUAAAGGUAAGGCCAUAUCUAAUUGAUUUAAUUAAAAAUAAAUCAUAUCCGGCAUGUAAAAAUCCACAAUGUACAAAAAACGAGCCGUUACGGAAUAUUUUAUCUACAAAAACUGACUAAAUAAAAAUUUUUCACUAAUUGAUUAGUCAUAGCCAGCGAUAUACGCUAUGCGAAAAUGCAGAUGGCAAUGAGAUCCACUGCUUUCAUCUCCAUUAACAUCCCAUUACGCUUUUAUUAAGGAGCAUUAGCAUGUUCUCACCGCAGUCACGCUUGCGUCAUGCAGUUGCAGAUACGUUCGCGAUGGUUGUUUACUGUUCUGUCGUGAACAUGUGUAUUGAAGUUUUCCUCUCCGGAAUGAGCUUCAACAGUCUUUUUAUUCCANAUUGGUANCGAUUCCGGUGAACAUCUUAAUUGCUGGCAUNCGGNUGUACCGGACUGUUAUGCNCNCGGACNCAAAUUACCCGCGGCUGAAAAAAAUUGGNGGANUNCNGGNUAUGNACNUCC
RNAcentral lists this ribosomal RNA (584 nucleotides) under uncultured bacterium. RNAcentral describes it as "partial 16S ribosomal RNA". The record is from RNAcentral.